CAGAGUAUGCGGCCGCGGCUGGCAGGACCGAAAGGGGCCAGGCGAGGAAAGUCCGGGCUCCACAGGGCAGGAUGCCGGAUAACGUCCGGCGGAGGCGACUCCAGGGACAGUGCAACAGAAAUAAACCGCCCGCUCUCUGCGGGUAAGGGUGGAAAGGCAGUGCAAGAGACUACCGCUGUGCUGGUAACAGAACAGGCAUAUGUAAACCCCAUCCGGAGCAAGACCAAAUGCAGAGCUAUGUGACUGCCCGUCACGCUCUCAGGUAGGUUGCUUGAGGCUGCCGGUAACGGCAGCCCUAGAUAGAUGGCCGCACACGACAUAACCCGGCUUAUCGCUCUGCUCG
Molecule: RNase P RNA, 343 nt
Filed under: chicken gut metagenome
Description: Bacterial RNase P class A
Rfam family: Bacterial RNase P class A
About the family: Ribonuclease P (RNase P) is a ubiquitous endoribonuclease, found in archaea, bacteria and eukarya as well as chloroplasts and mitochondria.
Source: RNAcentral